AGAGUUUGAUCAUGGCUCAGAUUGAACGCUGGCGGCAGGCUUAACACAUGCAAGUCGAACGGUAACAGGGAGAAAGCUUGCUUUCUUUGCUGACGAGUGGCGGACGGGUGAGUAAUGCUUGGGAAUCUGGCUUAUGGAGGGGGAUAACUACGGGAAACUGUAGCUAAUACCGCGUAGAAUCGGAAGAUGAAAGUGUGGGACCGCAAGGCCACAUGCCAUGGGAUGAGCCCAAGUGGGAUUAGGUAGUUGGUUAGGUAAAGGCUGACCAAGCCGACGAUCUCUAGCUGGUCUGAGAGGAUGACCAGCCACACUGGAACUGAGACACGGUCCAGACUCCUACGGGAGGCAGCAGUGGGGAAUAUUGCACAAUGGGGGGAACCCUGAUGCAGCCAUGCCGCGUGAAUGAGGAAGGCCUUCGGGUUGUAAAGUUCUUUCGGUGACGAGGAAGGCAGCUACUUUAAUAGAGCGGUUGAUUGACGUUAGUCACAGAAGAAGCACCGGCUAACUCCGUGCCAGCAGCCGCGGUAAUACGGAGGGUGCGAGCGUUAAUCGGAAUAACUGGGCGUAAAGGGCACGCAGGCGGUGAUUUAAGUGAGAUGUGAAAGCCCCGGGCUUAACCUGGGAAUUGCAUUUCAUACUGGGUCGCUAGAGCACUUUAGGGAGGGGUAGAAUUCCACGUGUAGCGGUGAAAUGCGUAGAGAUGUGGAGGAAUACCGAAGGCGAAGGCAGCCCCUUGGGAAUGUACUGACGCUCAUGUGCGAAAGCGUGGGGAGCAAACGGGAUUAGAUACCCUGGUAGUCCACGCUGUAAACGCUGUCGAUUUGGGGAUUGGG
Molecule: ribosomal RNA, 833 nt
Filed under: uncultured bacterium
Lineage: Bacteria
Description: bacterial SSU rRNA
Rfam family: Bacterial small subunit ribosomal RNA
Source: RNAcentral